RNAcentral lists this ribosomal RNA (463 nucleotides) under uncultured bacterium. RNAcentral describes it as "partial 16S ribosomal RNA". It matches the Rfam family "Bacterial small subunit ribosomal RNA", at positions 28 to 507 of the family's 1533-position model. The record is from RNAcentral.
GAUGAACGCUGACAGAAUGCUUAACACAUGCAAGUCUUUGGCGAAGCUGUGCUUGCACAGCCUAGCCAAGGCGGACGGGUGAGUAACGCGUAAGGAACUUGCCCUGCAGUCAGGGAUAACAGACGGAAACGACUGAUAAGACCUGGUAAAGUCAGGCGGACUCAUGUCCAGCCUGAUGAAAAGUGAUGCUGCAGGAGGGCCUUGCGUCCUAUUAGCUUGUUGGUGGGGUAACGGCCCACCAAGGCGAUGAUAGGUAGCCGGCCUGAGAGGGUGGACGGCCACAAGGGGACUGAGAUACGGCCCUUACUCCUACGGGAGGAAGCAGUGGGGAAUAUUGGACAAUGGGGGCAACACUGAUCCAGCAAUUCUGUGUGCACGAUGAAGGUUUUCGGAUUGUAAAGUGCUUUCAGCAGGGAAGAAAAAAAUGACGGUACCUGCAGAAGAAGCGACGGCUAAAUACGUG